GAAUGCUGACAUGAGUAACGAUAAAGGGAGUGAAAAACUCCCUCGCCGGAAGACCAAGGGUUCCUGUCCAACGUUAAUCGGGGCAGGGUAAGUCGACUCCUAAGGCGAGGCCGAAAGGCGUAGUCGAUGGGAAACGGGUUAAUAUUCCCGUACUUCUUACAAUUGCGAUGGGGGGACGGAGAAGGCUAGGUGGGCCUGGCGACGGUUGUCCAGGUUCAAGUACGUAGGCGGAAAGUUUAGGUAAAUCCGGACUUUCAUUAACGCUGAGAUACGAUGUCGAGCUACUACGGUAGUGAAGUCAUUGAUGCCAUGCUUCCAGGAAAAGCCUCUAAGCUUCAGAUUGUAAGGAAUCGUACCCCAAACCGACACAGGUGGUCGGGUAGAGAAUACCAAGGCGCUUGAGAGAACUCGGGUGAAGGAACUAGGCAAAAUGGUACCGUAACUUCGGGAGAAGGUACGCUCUUAUCAGUGAAGUCCCUUGCGGAUGGAGCAGACGAGAGUCGCAGAUACCAGGUGGCUGCAACUGUUUAUUAAAAACACAGCACUGUGCAAAAUCGUAAGAUGACGUAUACGGUGUGACGCCUGCCCGGUGCCGGAAGGUUAAUUGAUGGGGUUAGACUUCGGUCGAAGCUCUUGAUCGAAGCCCCGGUAAACGGCGGCCGUAACUAUAACGGUCCUAAGGUAGCGAAAUUCCUUGUCGGGUAAGUUCCGACCUGCACGAAUGGCGUAAUGAUGGCCACGCUGUCUCCACCCGAGACUCAGUGAAAUUGAAAUCGCUGUGAAGAUGCAGUGUACCCGCGGCUAGACGGAAAGACCCCGUGAACCUUUACUACAGCUUGGCACUGAACAUUGAACCUACAUGUGUAGGAUAGGUGGGAGACUAUGAAAUUGCGUCGCUAGAUGUGAUGGAGUCGUCCUUGAAAUACCACCCUUGUAGUUUUGAUGUUCUAACGUUGGUCCCUGAAUCGGGAUUACGGACAGUGCCUGGUGGGUAGUUUGACUGGGGCGGUCUCCUCCCAAAGAGUAACGGAGGAGCACGAAGGUGGGCUAAACACGGUUGGACAUCGUGUGGUUAGUGCAAUGGCAUAAGCCCGCUUGACUGCGAGAAUGACAAUUCGAGCAGGUGCGAAAGCAGGUCAUAGUGAUCCGGUGGUUCUGAAUGGAAGGGCCAUCGCUCAACGGAUAAAAGGUACUCCGGGGAUAACAGGCUGAUACCGCCCAAGAGUUCAUAUCGACGGCGGUGUUUGGCACCUCGAUGUCGGCUCAUCACAUCCUGGGGCUGAAGUCGGUCCCAAGGGUAUGGCUGUUCGCCAUUUAAAGUGGUACGCGAGCUGGGUUUAGAACGUCGUGAGACAGUUCGGUCCCUAUCUGCCGUGGGCGUUGGAAAAUUGAAAGGGGCUGCUCCUAGUACGAGAGGACCGGAGUGGACGAACCUCUGGUGUUCGGGUUGUCAUGCCAAUGGCAUUGCCCGGUAGCUAAGUUCGGAAUCGAUAACCGCUGAAAGCAUCUAAGCGGGAAGCGAGCCUUGAGAUGAGUUUUCCCUGGCACUAUAAGUGUCCUAAAGGGUUGUCGUAGACUACGACGUUGAUAGGCAGGGUGUGUAAGUGCUGCGAGGCAUUGAGCUAACCUGUACUAAUUGCCCGUGAGGCUUAACCAUACAACACCCAAGGGGUUU
Molecule: ribosomal RNA, 1675 nt
Filed under: Vibrio splendidus
Lineage: Bacteria; Pseudomonadati; Pseudomonadota; Gammaproteobacteria; Vibrionales; Vibrionaceae
Description: bacterial LSU rRNA
Rfam family: Bacterial large subunit ribosomal RNA
Source: RNAcentral